This 497-nucleotide ribosomal RNA is filed under the name uncultured bacterium. RNAcentral describes it as "partial 16S ribosomal RNA". It matches the Rfam family "Bacterial small subunit ribosomal RNA", at positions 28 to 507 of the family's 1533-position model. The record is from RNAcentral.
GAUGAACGCUGGCGGCGUGCCUAAUACAUGCAAGUCGAGCGAACGGACGAGAAGCUUGCUUCUCUGAUGUUAGCGGCGGACGGGUGAGUAACACGUGGAUAACCUACCUAUAAGACUGGGAUAACUUCGGGAAACCGGAGCUAAUACCGGAUGAUAUUUUGAACCGCAUGGUUCAAAAGUGAAAGACGGUCCUGCUGUCACUUAUAGAUGGAUCCGCGCUGCAUUAGCUAGUUGGUAAGGUAACGGCUUACCAAGGCAACGAUGCAUAGCCGACCUGAGAGGGUGAUCGGCCACACUGGAACUGAGACACGGUCCAGACUCCUACGGGAGGCAGCAGUAGGGAAUCUUCCGCAAUGGGCGAAAGCCUGACGGAGCAACGCCGCGUGAGUGAUGAAGGUCUUCGGAUCGUAAAACUCUGUUAUUAGGGAAGAACAUAUGUGUAAGUAACUGUGCACAUCUUGACGGUACCUAGUCAGAAAGCCACGGCUAACUACGUG